CCGCCGACACCUCCGCUUCCUGCCGAACCUUGGGAUGAGUGGCUGAACCAGCGCCAGCGCAGCCUGAGAAUCUGCUUCACAUCAAAUUCCUUCUUCGCCGACAUUCUCCUCUGCCUUUGGAGACGAGGGCAAUAGUAUGUGAUGGAGAGCGGUCCUCUGCAGCUUUUGUUCUAAGCAGCCUCCCUCCAAGUCUUAUCCUCUGCCUUCCUGCCUCACGUUGCCUCCUGUGCUGCCGCCACUGCCGCCGCUGCUGCCGCUGCUGCUGCUGCUGCUGCGCCGCUGGAGCUGAGUUAAUGCACAUGCAUGAUCUACACUCCCUCCCCUUUGCCUUCCAUGUUUCUCUCUACCCCACUUCUCUCUCUCUCUCUGCCUGUAUAUCCUACACAUAUAUACACACUCAUACACGCACACACACACACACACACACACCUAUGUAUGUACGUAGAAGGUAUGUGUGUGUGUGUGCACGUGUGUGCACAUGUGUGUGUGUGUGUGUAGGUGUGUGUGUGUGUGUGUGCGUGUGUGUGUGUGUGUGUGUGUACACGUGCGAUAUCAGGUCUGUCAGCUUUCACUACAAGAAAGGUGGGGUAUGAUAGUGCCAAGAUGAUGAGGUCACACCAUAACAAAGUAAAGCAUUGCCUGCUGAAGACUACUAUGUAGUACUAGCAGCAAUCUUGAGCUCGCCAUACAUAGUAUGUUAAUGUAUUUGUGCAUGACCCAUAUUAUGUAGCCGCCACAACAUUAUUUACACCACCCUGGUCAAUCACUGCAUUUUUGUAACUCUCAAUGAGACUCAUGCACCGCACCACAUCAAUUGCUUCAGGUGUCUCAGAUAUAAAGGCUGCAUUCUCCAGACAAGCUCCUUCCUCAGAUGUUCAAUAGGAUUUAGAUCAGGGUUUUUGGGGUCAUUAACCUGUUGGAUGACCCGUGACCUUCAGCAGAGACCAAGAUUUCUGAUUCUGCUAGGAUUUCUUCUUUAACAGAAGCAGACCAACAGUUUUGUUCACAUGUGGAUAAAUAUCCACUCACCAAAAAUGCAUCAUGCAUCUGUACACAUCUGCUGUGACUCUCGCAUCAAACACAAUCCCAUGGGGGAGUUUCAGUGGGGUUUCAGGGGGGAAGGCGGGGUGGUGGGUUUGCUCUGUAAAGGUUACCAUGCAAAUAAAUAAUUUCUCCUUUGUUGUCUUGGAAGCCCCCUUAUGAGAACAGUAAAAAAAAAAUAAACAUUUUAAAACA
This is a long non-coding RNA of Phyllopteryx taeniolatus (common seadragon), 1236 nucleotides long. RefSeq lists it as uncharacterized. The record is from RefSeq and is a predicted model, not a curated record. The transcript is spliced from 2 exons. Lineage: Eukaryota; Metazoa; Chordata; Actinopteri; Syngnathiformes; Syngnathidae.